This 351-nucleotide ribosomal RNA is filed under the name Triticum aestivum (bread wheat). RNAcentral describes it as "partial small subunit ribosomal RNA". The record is from RNAcentral. Lineage: Eukaryota; Viridiplantae; Streptophyta; Magnoliopsida; Poales; Poaceae.
AUGAUGCUUAACCCGGCCAAAUGUGUGUUCACGGUCCCUGCAGGUAAAUUGCUUGAUUUUCUGGUGUCCGAGCGAGGCAUUGAAGGUAACCCAGAGAAAAUCAAGGUGGUGACCUCCCUUGCCAAGCCGGCCAACAUCAACAAUGUUCAACGUAUGGCAGGUCGUAUAGCUUCUUUGAGCCGGUUCAUAAGCCGCCUUGGUGAGACGGCAAUUCCUCUGUACCAGAUGCUAAAAAAGACUGGCAACUUCGUGUGGAGUAAUGAUGUGGAUAUAGCUUUUGAAGCCCUUAAGAAACAGCUGGCUGAGUCGCCCGUCUUGGAUGCCCCUAUCGACAUACAUUGCUGCCAAUAA